UGGGGAAUUUUGGACAAUGGGCGAAAGCCUGAUCCAGCAAUGCCGCGUGUGUGAAGAAGGCCUUCGGGUUGUAAAGCACUUUUGUCCGGAAAGAAAUCCUUGGCUCUAAUACAGUCGGGGGAUGACGGUACCGGAAGAAUAAGCACCGGCUAACUACGUGCCAGCAGCCGCGGUAAUACGUAGGGUGCAAGCGUUAAUCGGAAUUACUGGGCGUAAAGCGUGCGCAGGCGGUUUGCUAAGACCGAUGUGAAAUCCCCGGGCUCAACCUGGGAACUGCAUUGGUGACUGGCAGGCUAGAGUAUGGCAGAGGGGGGUAGAAUUCCACGUGUAGCAGUGAAAUGCGUAGAGAUGUGGAGGAAUACCGAUGGCGAAGGCAGCCCCCUGGGCCAAAUACUGACGCUCAUGCACGAAAGCGUGGGGAGCAAACAGGAUUAGAUACCCUGGUAGUCCACGCCCUAAACGAUGUCAACUAGUUGUUGGGGAUUCAUUUCCUUAGUAACGUAGCUAACGCGUGAAGUUGACCGCCUGGGGAGUACGGUCGCAAGAUUAAAACUCAAAGGAAUUGACGGGGUCAUA
This 576-nucleotide ribosomal RNA is filed under the name uncultured bacterium. RNAcentral's name for it is "partial 16S ribosomal RNA". It matches the Rfam family "Bacterial small subunit ribosomal RNA", at positions 355 to 923 of the family's 1533-position model. The record is from RNAcentral.